AGGUGACAGGUGCUGCAUGGCUGUCGUCAGCUCGUGUCGUGAGAUGUUGGGUUAAGUCCCGCAACGAGCGCAACCCUCGAUCUUAGUUGCCAGCAUUUAGUUGGGUACUCUAAGAUAACCGCCGGUGAUAAGCCGGAGGAAGGUGGGGAUGACGUCAAGUCCUCAUGGCCCUUACGCGUUGGGCUACACACGUGCUACAAUGGCGACUACAGUGGGCCGCAACCUCGCGAGGGGUAGCUAAUCUCCAAAAGUCGUCUCAGUUCGGAUUGUUCUCUGCAACUCGAGAGCAUGAAGGCGGAAUCGCUAGUAAUCGCGGAUCAGCAUGCCGCGGUGAAUACGUUCCCAGGCCUUGUACACACCGCCCGUCACACCAUGGGAGUUGGAUUCACCCGAAGGCGCUGCGCUAACUCGCAAGAGAGGCAGGCGAC
This 428-nucleotide ribosomal RNA is filed under the name uncultured Alphaproteobacteria bacterium. Its description in RNAcentral is "bacterial SSU rRNA". It matches the Rfam family "Bacterial small subunit ribosomal RNA", at positions 1029 to 1457 of the family's 1533-position model. The record is from RNAcentral. Lineage: Bacteria; Pseudomonadati; Pseudomonadota; Alphaproteobacteria.